Molecule: ribosomal RNA, 486 nt
Filed under: uncultured bacterium
Lineage: Bacteria
Description: bacterial SSU rRNA
Rfam family: Bacterial small subunit ribosomal RNA
Source: RNAcentral
AUUGAACGCUGGCGGCAUGCCUUACACAUGCAAGUCGAACGGCAGCACGGGUGCUUGCACCUGGUGGCGAGUGGCGAACGGGUGAGUAAUACAUCGGAACGUACCUUAUCGUGGGGGAUAACGCAGCGAAAGCUGUGCUAAUACCGCAUACGCCCUGAGGGGGAAAGCGGGGGAUCGAAAGACCUCGCGCGAUUAGAGCGGCCGAUGCCUGAUUAGCUAGUUGGUGGGGUAAAAGCCCACCAAGGCAACGAUCAGUAGCUGGUCUGAGAGGACGAUCAGCCACACUGGGACUGAGACACGGCCCAGACUCCUACGGGAGGCAGCAGUGGGGAAUUUUGGACAAUGGGCGCAAGCCUGAUCCAGCCAUUCCGCGUGCAGGACGAAGGCCUUCGGGUUGUAAACUGCUUUUGUACAGAACGAAAAGCUCUGGGUUAAUACCUCGGAGUCAUGACGGUACUGUAAGAAUAAGCACCGGCUAACUACGUG